GAUGAACGCUGGCGGCGUGCCUAAUACAUGCAAGUCGAACGAAACUUCUUUAUCACCGAGUGCUUGCACUCACCGAUAAAGAGUUGAGUGGCGAACGGGUGAGUAACACGUUGGCAACCUGCCCAAAAGAGGGGGAUAACACUUGGAAACAGGUGCUAAUACCGCAUAACCAUAGUUACCGCAUGGUAACUAUGUCAAAGGUGGCUAUACUACCGCUUUUGGAUGGGCCCGCGGCGCAUUAGCCAGUUGGUAGGGUAAAGGCGUACCAAGGGAAGGAUGCGUAGCCGACUUGAGAGGUUGAUCAGCCACAUUGGAACUGAGACACGGCCCAAACGCCUACGGGAGGCAGCAGUAGGGAAUCUUCCACAAUGGGCGGAAGCCUGAUGGAGCAAGGCCGCGUGGGUGAAGAAGGUCUUCGGAUCGUAAAACCCUGUUGUUAGAGAAGAAAAGCCGUGAGAUUAUCGGUUCACGUUUCGACGGUAUCUAACCAGAAAGCCACGGCUAACUACGUG
This 512-nucleotide ribosomal RNA is filed under the name uncultured bacterium. Its description in RNAcentral is "partial 16S ribosomal RNA". It matches the Rfam family "Bacterial small subunit ribosomal RNA", at positions 28 to 507 of the family's 1533-position model. The record is from RNAcentral.